Molecule: long non-coding RNA, 2847 nt
Organism: Frieseomelitta varia
Lineage: Eukaryota; Metazoa; Arthropoda; Insecta; Hymenoptera; Apidae
Exons: 7
Source: RefSeq, a predicted model, not a curated record
GAGUGGUUUUGAUCUAGAAAUUCUGCUUGAUCGUCGAAUUAGGUUAUGUGUGGUUAGCGUCACGUUAUGUUAAUAAAAAGACAAAAUAAAAGACGUCCCAGCUUAAACAAUCAAGCUCCACUGAGUUUAAUCUAAAAAGGAGAAAGAAAUGCUAUAUAAAAUUCAACAACAAAUAUUUUGUUGCAAAGUUGUGAAUAAAUAUUGUAUAUACGAAAUAUGUAAGUAGCAUUUUCCAUUACAGUCUACUACGUUGAUAAGUAUGUCUUUUUUCAUAUGCCAUUAUUAAUUAUCAUAAUUAUUAUGUAAUCCUUAAUUACAAAUUUCGCAUCAUUAAUUAUAAUGAUACGAAGAAUAAUUCUCCAUAUGAAGUUAUAUUUUAAAGUACUUCAUAAGUAAAAAAAGUCAAAUGGUAAAGAAAAAUGCGUAUCUAUUCAUACUAACAUAUUUGUUUAUAGCGCUGUAAUAAAGCGUUCCUUGACAUACGUCAUAUAACAUCUUUUUCUUCUUUUUAUGUGUAAAUCAAGUCUUUGCAGUUUAAGUUCGGGAUAUCGUGUGAAUAUAUAUACACACCGUAUGUUAUAUAUAGUUAGUAUUUACAAAUAUAUAAAUAUUCAAAUGAAAAUCAAUGCUAGGCAAAGUUUGUGAAAUAAGACAACUACAUUACGAUACAUGAAUCGUAUGGCAAGAUGCAUUUGAUCCCAAUUCGAAAGUGAAAUUUGCUUCAAUUCGCAGUUAGCGAUGCGCGUUAUAUGGGUGAAAUUACGUUUCUAAUGGGUAGCGGAGUAAGCUAUCAUUACCAUUGACCUGUAUAUUUCAUUCACAUUACAAAAUGAUUCCAUGUUACAUGCGAUGCAAAAACAAAUAAACUAGUUAUCCACUUAUGAUACGGCUCACGUAACCAUCCUAUCGAUAUUCCUUUCGUAUUUCCACUCUGCUAUAUUGGACUAUAUUUGGCUAUUUGAAGGCACCUGAGUUCUCAGACACUAUAACUACGAAAUAUCGAAAUCUUUGUGGAGUAAAACUCUUGCACGUUGCAAUUCUAAAUACGUGAGUUGCAGAAUAUAUGAAUUCUACAUCUAUGACUGGCAUUAUAGAAAUUGUAUAGUUCUCACGUUAUAUAAUUGAAGAAAUUCAAGAAAAAGACAUUUAUACUUGUAUGUUAAUUUAUAAAUUAUAUUUUCCCCGCGGAAAUAAAUGAAUUAAAAAAAAAAGAAAGAGAAUCAUCAAUAAGAGAUCCAAGUGCAGAUACGGACAAAGGAAGAAUAUAUAUACAUACAUAUAUAUAAGUACACGUGCCUGUCCGUAUGACAGCAAGUCAUGUGAAAGUGGCCUUGUCGAGAUCAUGACACGGUACUUUUCGUCUCUUCGCAUUCUGUGUAGCGUACGAAAAAUUGAUCAAUGAUUAAAAAACCGAUGCUCAGCAUUCGGAAGAAGCACUCGACUUCUUUGCAAUGGCACGAGGAAAAGAUACAAAGGAACCGCAUAUUAUUGUAAUUCUGUGCAUACACGAGACUGAAGCAAUUAAUUUUGAAAGCCAGCCAGUCCCCACCGGUCUUACGUUGGGAGUAACAAUCACGCCGAUAAAACGGUGGCAUAAAACGUAGGAGAAAUUUCUACAAACCUACAAGUAACUCUAUCUAGUGUUGUUUUCUCAGAUUUACUGAGAAGACUGCGUAUUUCGAAACGUAAAAAAUACCCAAGUGACUCCAUAUUAAUUUAACAACUUGGCAAUUACGCUGUUAUCUAUAAUUUACACAAUGAAACAUGCCUAGCAAGCAGAUACAAGCUAAGAAGGUAAUAAAGACAGGACAUAAAAUUCAAGCAGGUGCAAGAUAAGAAGGUAAUAAAAACAGGACAUAAAAUUCGAAUUAAAUCAAAUUUCAGUUAAAAUAUAUUAGAAUCUGCAUUACGUUUUUAGGGAUAAAUACAUAUUUCCAGAUCUAUAUCUUUCCUACGUUAGUAUGAUUCAUGUCUUCCUAAAUCGACCGCAAAUGCAUAUUUUCUUAAAAUUUUAUCUAGAUUCAUCUCCUUCCAGAUGUUCUUCGAGGAUCAGUUUAUUACAUCAUCCAAUUUUCAUCCAUCUUUUGCAAAAUUCUUAUUUUUAAAAGAAAUCUCUAUGCUUGAUCUAAACCUCUCCGUGAACGCGAGAGUUCUGAAGCUUCUUGAACACGCGGCCAUGAGAUAUACUCAACUCCUACCUCGAAUCCGGAACUUUCACCUUCCGUGGAAGCCAGCAGCACGUUGAUUGGAGCUUUUCUUCCAGCUCGUAUCGCGGUCGUUAUACGUUAAUUGCAUUUAGUUGUGUCUGCUUCGCGUCGAAAUGCUUCCACUUGCAGGAUGUUCGAAAGCGACUUCCCUAUCUCCAGAGUGAGAGAUGUAUAAGCACGUGCGACAGAAACUUCUCAUCCUGUAUAACUUGUCACGCGCAUGACAUCUGGAGAAAGUAAAGGUCGUGAGCGGUGAAUCGCGACCCUGAGGACCCUGGGAUGCGCUGGUUCCCUUGAAUCUCAUCUUAUCCCUAGAAAGCAUCUCUCAUCUCUCUUCCUGCCGCUUCUUCUUCUUCUUCCGUAGAAACUAAGCGCUUUCAUCUAGCGGGAAUUAAUGUCUAACCGUGUGGAUAUGGUUUCCUCGUGUUCGUGCGACUUGAUACCUCCGCUUGGGAAUCAAGAGGAAGAUCUUCGCACUUUUACUUACGUGAAAAGUAAAUCUUACAAUUACAGAGGAUAAGUAUAUGGAGUGAGUUAAUAAAAAUUCCCAUUUAGAUAAUCAAAGUACAUAAGAAAUGAAAAGUAUUUUUUGCAGUUACAAAAUGAUUUUAAUUGAUAUAAAAAUAUCAAAAUAUUAGCA